GAUGAACGCUAGCGGCAGGCUUAAUACAUGCAAGGCGAAGGGGCAGCAAUGUCACUGUCGUACGGGUGCGUAACGCGUAUGCAACCUACCUAUCACUGGGGAUAGCCCGGGGAAACCCGGAUUAAUACCGCAUAAAACAGGGGCACCGCAUGGUGAUAUUUGUUAAAGAUUUAUUGGUGAUAGAUGGGCAUGCGUUCGAUUAGCUAGUUGGCGGGGUAACGGCCCACCAAGGCGACGAUCGAUAGGGGAGCUGAGAGGUUGAUCCCCCACACGGGCACUGAGAUACGGGCCCGACUCCUACGGGAGGCAGCAGUAGGGAAUAUUGGGCAAUGGAUGCAAGUCUGACCCAGCCAUGCCGCGUGCCGGAUGAAGGCCCCUCAGGGUUGUAAACGGCUUUUUAUUCGGGAAGAAGAGCAGGGAUGCGUCCUUGUGUGACGGUACCGAAUGAAUAAGCACCGGCUAACUCCGUGCCAGCAGCCGCGGUAAUACGAGGGNGCGGCGUUGUCCGGAUUUAUUGGGUUUAAAGGGNGCGUAGGUGGCUGUUUAAGUCAGUGGUGAAAUACGGUUGCUCAACAAUCGAGGUGCCAUUGAUACUGAAUAGC
RNAcentral lists this ribosomal RNA (602 nucleotides) under uncultured bacterium. RNAcentral's name for it is "bacterial SSU rRNA". It matches the Rfam family "Bacterial small subunit ribosomal RNA", at positions 28 to 641 of the family's 1533-position model. The record is from RNAcentral.